UAGAGUUUGAUCCUGGCUCAGGAUGAACGCUGGCGGCGUGCCUAAUACAUGCAAGUCGAGCGAACAGACGAGGAGCUUGCUCCUCUGACGUUAGCGGCGGACGGGUGAGUAACACGUGGAUAACCUACCUAUAAGACUGGGAUAACUUCGGGAAACCGGAGCUAAUACCGGAUAACAUGUUGAACCGCAUGGUUCAACAGUGAAAGACGGUCUUGCUGUCACUUAUAGAUGGAUCCGCGCCGCAUUAGCUAGUUGGUAAGGUAACGGCUUACCAAGGCAACGAUGCGUAGCCGACCUGAGAGGGUGAUCGGCCACACUGGAACUGAGACACGGUCCAGACUCCUACGGGAGGCAGCAGUAGGGAAUCUUCCGCAAUGGGCGAAAGCCUGACGGAGCAACGCCGCGUGAGUGAUGAAGGUCUUCGGAUCGUAAAACUCUGUUAUUAGGGAAGAACAAAUGUGUAAGUAACUAUGCACGUCUUGACGGUACCUAAUCAGAAAGCCACGGCUAACUACGUGCCAGCAGCCGCGGUAAU
RNAcentral lists this ribosomal RNA (535 nucleotides) under uncultured Staphylococcus sp. RNAcentral's name for it is "bacterial SSU rRNA". It matches the Rfam family "Bacterial small subunit ribosomal RNA", at positions 1 to 524 of the family's 1533-position model. The record is from RNAcentral. Lineage: Bacteria; Bacillati; Bacillota; Bacilli; Caryophanales; Staphylococcaceae.